Molecule: ribosomal RNA, 296 nt
Filed under: uncultured bacterium
Lineage: Bacteria
Description: partial 16S ribosomal RNA
Rfam family: Bacterial small subunit ribosomal RNA
Source: RNAcentral
GGAUUAGAUACCCUGGUAGUCCACGCCGUAAACGAUGUCUACUAGUUGUCGGUUGUCUUGUACGACGGGUAACGCAGCUAACGCGAUAAGUAGACCGCCUGGGGAGUACGGCCGCAAGGUUAAAACUCAAAUGAAUUGACGGGGGCCCGCACAAGCGGUGGAGCAUGUGGUUUAAUUCGAAGCAACGCGCAGAACCUUACCAACCCUUGACAUACUAGUCGCAGAUCUCGUAGUGAGAUCCUUCAGUUCGGCUGGACUAGAUACAGGUGCUGCAUGGCUGUCGUCAGCUCGUGCCG